CCUACGGGAGGCAGCAGUAAGGAAUAUUGGUCAAUGGAGGCAACUCUGAACCAGCCAUGCCGCGUGCAGGAUGACGGCCCUAUGGGUUGUAAACUGCUUUUAUACAAGAGAAAACCCUGGUACGUGUACCAGGUUGAUAGUAUUGUAAGAAUAAGCAUCGGCUAACUUCGUGCCAGCAGCCGCGGUAAGACGAAGGAUGCAAGCGUUAUCCGGAUUCAUUGGGUUUAAAGGGUGCGUAGGCGGACUGAUAAGUCAGUGGUGAAAUCUCUUUGCUUAACAAAGAAACUGCCAUUGAUACUGUCGGUCUAGAGUAUAGAUGACGUUGGCGGAAUAUGACAUGUAGUGGUGAAAUACUUAGAUAUGUCAUAGAACACCGAUUGCGAAGGCAGCUAACGAAACUAUAACUGACGCUGAGGCACGAAAGUGCGGGGAUCAAACAGGAUUAGAUACCCUGGUAGUCCGCACCGUAAACGAUGAUUACUCGUUGUUGGCGAUAUGACAGUCAGCGACCAAGCGAAAGCGAUAAGAAUCCACCUGGGGAGUACGCCGGCAACGGUGAAACUUAAAGGAAAUUGACGGCGNGAGAGNGCGAGGACGACGACGAGGGAGAGG
This 612-nucleotide ribosomal RNA is filed under the name uncultured bacterium. RNAcentral's name for it is "bacterial SSU rRNA". It matches the Rfam family "Bacterial small subunit ribosomal RNA", at positions 338 to 956 of the family's 1533-position model. The record is from RNAcentral.